Molecule: long non-coding RNA, 705 nt
Organism: Lates calcarifer (barramundi perch)
Lineage: Eukaryota; Metazoa; Chordata; Actinopteri; Centropomidae
Exons: 2
Source: RefSeq, a predicted model, not a curated record
CGUACGAAAUGUUACCUGCAGACACACAAACCACACAGCUCAGUCAGAGCACAAGAUGAGGUCUCCUCAACAGUUCACAACCCCCAAAACCUUCAAUUUUCCACAGUGAGACAGAAGCCCUCUAGUGGCUGAAAAGAGGAACUUUGAAAUGCCAGGAAACCCUAUCAUGAAAAGAUCUCUUCUCUCAGAUGAUGUGAUUUUUAAUUUCACAAGAAGAUGACUAAGAGGCAUGAGCUUCUCAUUGAGUUAUCAAAACAUUGACCGGAAGUGAAAGCGUGUGAUGUAUUUACAGUAAAUGCACUGAUGCAACACUGAAAGCAGAAUUAUUUUGGAAAAAGUGAGCUGUGGAAAACCUCAGCUUGAAGUUUGAUAUUUUUAAAUGUGCCAGACGGAGAUCUAUGUGAGGCAUCAAAGCAGCAGGUACUUUUGGAAGAGGCAGCGUUUCACAUGCAGCUUUGAUUCUCACAGAAAAGUGGCUUGUAUGGGUAUUUUUGAAUUUCUUCUUUCCCUCUCUAACUUCACAAGGCUAUUUCCUGCUGAGGUUUUCACGGUAAACCAAACUUUCCAUUCAUACACACACACGACCAAAUAUGUAUCCUGUCAUAAAUACAUAAUGUAAGGUUGUUUUUUCAUCCCCGUUUUUUAAUGUUGUUUAUACUAAUAUCUGUAUUUUUAUUACAUUCACUAGUUGAUCCCAGUGGAAAU